Molecule: ribosomal RNA, 301 nt
Filed under: uncultured bacterium
Lineage: Bacteria
Description: partial 16S ribosomal RNA
Rfam family: Bacterial small subunit ribosomal RNA
Source: RNAcentral
CAGCAGCCACGGGAAUACGUAGGGUGCAAGCGUUAAUCGGAAUUACUGGGCGUAAAGCGUGCGCAGGCGGUUAUAUAAGACAGAUGUGAAAUCCCCGGGCUCAACCUGGGAACUGCAUUUGUGACUGUAUAGCUAGAGUACGGCAGAGGGGGAUGGAAUUCCGCGUGUAGCAGUGAAAUGCGUAGAUAUGCGGAGGAACACCGAUGGCGAAGGCAAUCCCCUGGGCCUGUACUGACGCUCAUGCAUGAAAGCGUGGGGAGCAAACAGGAUUAGAUACCCGUGUAGUCUCUGUCUCUUAACA